Non-coding RNA from Pelobates cultripes (western spadefoot toad), 251 nucleotides. Lineage: Eukaryota; Metazoa; Chordata; Amphibia; Anura; Pelobatidae. The record is from the annotation of a GenBank genome assembly.
UGUGUGUACAGUGAGCUUGUCUGUAGUAAGCAUGUGUGUGAUCGUGAGCUUGUCUGUAGUGAGCAUGUGUGUGUCAGUGAGCUUGUCUGUAGUGAAUCUGUGUGUUAGUGAGCUCUUCUGUAGGGAGCAUGUGUGUGUCAAUGGGCUUGUCUGUAGGGAGAGUGUGUGCGCAUCAGUGAGCUUGUCUGUAGUGAGCGUGUGUGUGUGACAGUGAGCUUGUCUGUAGUAAGCUUGUGUGUGUGUUAGAGUUU